RNA transcript from Alosa alosa (allis shad), 2195 nucleotides. RefSeq lists it as uncharacterized. The transcript is spliced from 8 exons. The record is from RefSeq and is a predicted model, not a curated record. Lineage: Eukaryota; Metazoa; Chordata; Actinopteri; Clupeiformes; Clupeidae.
AGGAGAAGUAGCCUUGGCUUUUUUGUACAAUCAAACUCUAUAGAGAUUGAAAUAUUAAAGCUUAAGACGACAUAGUUAUAGUCCUAGUCAGCAGCAGCUGCAAUAAAGCUCUGGUUGCUCUGACGCAUUGUGGAAAAUGCAAAGUGCCUCUGUAGGCUAAAUAUUCAUUAAUCCACAGAUCAGACAGUCAUUCAUUCUCGCACGUAUCCAUUCACUCUUUCCAAUCACACAUCGAAAAACAGUUAAGAUGCACGCGCAUUUGUCUCUUUCCCGCAGAUGGACACCUCCACCUAGUGGAUUAUUCACAUGCCUACAUUCUGGUAACUAUGCGCAUGUUUUUAGAGACGGUGUUCUGAUCUUCCCAAGAGUUCUAAUGCAUAGAGAAACCUACCGAAGUGUAGGCUAGCCUACAACAGCAUAGGCUACUUUAUAAAGUUACGCUGUGACAUUGUUAGUCACAUGAGGAAGGCUACAUUGUUAUAACUGUAAAGAGAUAGGCCUACUUUUUGUUUGGGUAACCUAACAACAGACAGUACUCUGGAGACAGUUACAUUGUUUGAACUCUUCAAGGUCAACUACAGCGUUGGUCACUAUGGUAACAGAAUGACUCACAGGAAAGGGAGCAGGUCUCAAGCCAUCACUGUUGGGCUGGUAGUCUGUCUCUUUGUCAUCAUCACCAGCUCAUUUUAGCCGAUUUAAAUGGACUCAGGUCGUUCAGUCUCUGGCCGGAUGGACACUCUAAACGAUAUGGAGUAUUAUCAUCCAUAGAAAUGCACACCUUUCCGACUCAGAAGUUUCUGACGCUUCCAGCGUCUCUCGGAAACAGAGACCAUGACAUCAACUCUCAUUAUUUACCUUUGCACUGUGUCAGUAGUUACGGAGCCCUGGCACACAAUUAUGGAAAUUUGAGACUGUCUGGAGAAAAGCUGCCUGGUUCGAAGUCAAACCUCUUGGAACCGAAAAAGAAAUGCCCAAUACAAAACAGUCUGAAGUGUGUCAGUCAGCUGGAUGCAAAAUGUCCAGGGAGUGUUGGAUCUCCAAAGGCCAUAUUUCCCCCUGAGAAUAAUGUCCUAGAAAAGGACAAUUGUGGGAGGCAUUUCUUGUUUGACAGAAGAUGGAAAAAUGGAGAGUUCAAAGAUGAGAUGUACCUCAAAACAACCACCGCUGUGUCUCCUCUACCUCGGCCUUAUCAGGUUCAGAAAUCAAAUAAUUUUCAGCGAUUUUCACUACUGAGGCAGGCUUGUAAUAGCCCCUCUAAGACAUGUUGAAAUGUACCUAGUAAUUCAUAUCAUGGAUGGCUGGUGGGAAGGACACAUGUGCUUAUUUUGUCCUCCUCACGACCACACUCCAUUGUGUUGCUUUAACAGCAGCCUAAGCAGGUUUGCCCUUUUGAAGGUUAUGAUCUCACUUUAGUUCCAAGUCGUCUGUUACCAGCUACCUCAGCAGCCCCCGAAAAGUCGCUCUCGGUCGAAAUUUUUAAACACAGAUCAAGAAUAAGUAAUCGCAUGUGCAGCCUUUUUACUAUUGGUGCAAACCAUAAAAGUCAGUUUUUUCCUGAUCCUGUGGCGGGGGCGACAGCCUCCUUCAUCCAAAGGCUCUCUGAGAUCUCAUCACUGGAGGGGGAGACCAUCCGACAGGAGAAAAUGAAAAAGAUGAAGAAGAGCAGGAAACAGGACUAAUGGCCACUACUUCAGCUGACCCUCUCUGGGUACAGAUCUGGCCCUGAUCUGGCUUUAGUCUGGCAUGAGAGAGUGGAGGAACAUGGACAUCCCACACACAUGUGCCAGGGCAAAAAUCAUAAAAACACAGGGGGUCCAAACGCUGUUCAGUGGUCUAUAUAUAUAAAAAAGUUCAAUGUUUCAGUUACCAACCCUCAGAUGUACAGUGCCUGAACAAUUUUAACACCUGUUGUGCCUGAAGAAGGCCGUUGUCUGAAACUUGGUGGAGCACUCAACAGUGUGGGAAACCCCAUCUUCAUCCUGGCUCUGUGCAAGUCAGGAAGAUCUGGGCCAGGUCAAGACCAGAUCCGCACCAAAAGUCAGCUGUUAUGUGGGAACUUAUCACUGCCGUAGAACAAAACAGUGUUGUGCCAAAUCAACAUCUACAUGGAAGAAAUGCACUUCAAAGUACACUUCAAACUUUUUUUUUUUUUAAACAUCUUAACAUCUAAAAAGUAUUCAUCUCAUUUGCAGUCU